Molecule: ribosomal RNA, 116 nt
Filed under: Salinivibrio sp. AR640
Lineage: Bacteria; Pseudomonadati; Pseudomonadota; Gammaproteobacteria; Vibrionales; Vibrionaceae
Source: RNAcentral
CUUGGCGACCAUAGCGCUUUGGACCCACCUGACUCCAUGCCGAACUCAGUAGUGAAACGAAGCAGCGCCGAUGGUAGUGUGGGGUCUCCCCAUGUGAGAGUAGGACAUCGCUAGGC